GAGAAACAAGAGGGAGGAAAAACAGAACUCAACCACUCUCAAAUCUCGAUUUCGAAGCUAAAACCCUAAAUUCAUUUAGCUUGAAUUCCUCCCCAUUUCUCUCCGCUCGUUGAUUUUCCUUCAUUUUCUCUAUCUCUGUGCUUCGCAUUGUUCAUUAGAUCAGAGGAAAAGGAAGAAGAAAAAGAAAAAUCUCUCUCGCCCUUCUCUUUCUCUCUCAUUUUCCGGGAAAAGUUUUCGGAUCUUUGCG
This 247-nucleotide unclassified non-coding RNA is filed under the name Hevea brasiliensis (rubber tree). The record is from RNAcentral. Lineage: Eukaryota; Viridiplantae; Streptophyta; Magnoliopsida; Malpighiales; Euphorbiaceae.